AGUGAACGCUGGCGGUAGGCCUAACACAUGCAAGUCGAACGGCAGCACAGGAGAGCUUGCUCUCUGGGUGGCGAGUGGCGGACGGGUGAGGAAUACAUCGGAAUCUACUUUUUCGUGGGGGAUAACGUAGGGAAACUUACGCUAAUACCGCAUACGACCUACGGGUGAAAGCAGGGGACCUUCGGGCCUUGCGCGAUUGAAUGAACCGAUGUCGGAUUAGCUAAUUGGCGGGGUAAAGGACCACCAAGGCGACGAUCCGUAGCUGGUCUGCGGGGAUGGUCAGCACAAAUGAAACUGAGACACGUUCCAGACUCCUACGGGAGGAAGCAGUGGGGAAUAUUGGACAAUGGGCGCAAGCCUGAUUCAGCCAUACCGCGUGGGUGAAGAAGGCCUUCGGGUUGUAAAGCCCUUUUGUUGGGAAAGAAAUCCAGCUGGCUAAUACCCGGUUGGGAUGACGGUACCCAAAGAAUAAGCACCGGCUAACUUCGUGCCAGCAGCCGCCGUAA
This 506-nucleotide ribosomal RNA is filed under the name uncultured bacterium. RNAcentral's name for it is "partial 16S ribosomal RNA". It matches the Rfam family "Bacterial small subunit ribosomal RNA", at positions 29 to 523 of the family's 1533-position model. The record is from RNAcentral.